RNAcentral lists this ribosomal RNA (265 nucleotides) under uncultured bacterium. RNAcentral's name for it is "partial 16S ribosomal RNA". It matches the Rfam family "Bacterial small subunit ribosomal RNA", at positions 524 to 788 of the family's 1533-position model. The record is from RNAcentral.
UACGUAGGGGGCAAGCGUUAUCCGGAAUUAUUGGGCGUAAAGCGCGCGCAGGCGGUUGAUUAAGUCAGAUGUGAAAGGCUACGGCUCAACCGUAGAGUUGCAUUUGAAACUGGUUAACUUGAGUGCAGGAGAGGUAAGUGGAAUUCCCGGUGUAGCAGUGGAAUGCGUAGAGAUCGGGAGGAACACCAGUGGCGAAGGCGGCUUACUGGCCUGCAACUGACGCUGAGGCGCGAAAGCGUGGGGGAGCGAACAGGAUUAGAACCGU